GAUGCUCCCAGAGGCUGCUCUCAGUUCAGAAGCUUCCUGUAUUACACAAAGCCUGCCCUGCAGGUCCCGAAAAGGCAGAGGAUGGGAAAACACAUCAUAGAGUCAGCUUGUGAUAUCACGCAUCAUCUUUAAGAAAGCAUUUGUGGAGCUUCACGUAAAGCCCCUGUGCCUCUAACGUGGGCCCAUACCUGGGGAAAAUAUUUGGAUAGAUUUUAUCUGGCAAAAGGCCAAGGAAGCCAGCCAAGAUGAGAUCUGUUCCUCAGACUCACUCAUUGCAGCUCCACAAGGGCUCACCUCAUGGACAUGCUGCAAGAACAGGUUCAUGUAACAACAGUAACCCUAUGAGGUAGAUGCUCCCAUUGCAAGCUGUAACUCUGCAGAGAUCAAGUCAAUGCCCAAGAUCAUUUGCGCUGGGGAAAGCUAUUCCAGCUGUCCCGUGCAGAGACGUGCUUGGCAAGGAGCAGAAGUUGCAGGCCAACAACUGCAUGUGGGGGCAAAUCCACCAGCUUCAGUCAAGCCUCGGAUGACUGAGCUCCCAGCUGACAACUUGAUUACAGACUUGUGAGAGACCCUUAGCCAGACCCACUCCAGAUCCAGGUCUCAGGAGCCCUCGGGGAAGGUUUGGUGGCUGCAGAAAGGACUUUCUCUGAGAAUCCAGAAGUGACAUCAGGGAAGAACCUCAAAGGAUCCAUGGUCCCCCAACACAGAGCAAGUGACUGCAGCUCCUAGAAUCUCUUCCUUCAGGGAGGCCCAGAGAAAUUAAGUGUUAAGAGGCCUUACCCUCAGACAACAUCUUCUCUCAGCCUCUGUGGCUACAGUAUGUACAGUGUGCUGAGUGUGGAAGGACCUCUCUCCCCAUUAAAUCUGUAGUGCGAUCACAUGGAAGGCAUCUGAGGACCUAGAGCAAGGAAACAUGGCUAUCCUGCCCCACUGUGGUCCCGAUCUGGGUACUGAAUCAGCAUCUUCCAAGGAUUUUUAAAAUAGAAACCCCCAGUUCUCAGCCUACACCAAUGAAUCAGAAUCUCUCAGGAUGGGGCUCAGGGAAGCUGUGUUUUUAAAAACUCCAAGUACCUUACUUACCUUCUCACCAUCAUGAAAAUAGAAAUGAACAAAAUUAACAAGGCAACAAUUUCCAGGCACUGGACCAGAGGCACAGUGCAGAACUGUGAUCUCUGAGAGGAGGGCAACACUCAAGGGAGGGAGACCUGUGUUUGCCCAGGUUCUGCCCAGGUGAAGCACAGGGAGGGGAAACCCAGGCAGACCACAGUGGUCUGAUGGAGCUGAGCAGAAUUCGGAGCUUGGGCUGCUGAAGUGGCUGGCAUAUGUGGGGGCAGAAAACAGGAAAGGAAAGCUGCAGAGGGAGAGAACAAAGACCCCAGAAAUGUGUAUGCGCAUGUCCUGUGGGCUGUUGGUUGAAGCCCGGGCUUUGAAGAACAGAGCAAGACUUGGUGGAGCCUAGCAGAGAGCAGCUGCUAAGGGCCUGGGAACAGAAUGGAAACAUAGGGAGACUCUCUGCAGGGCUGGGAGUUCCAGCUCAGCUAGAAUGGAGAAACUCUGGUGUGCAUCUCAGUGGAGACUGCAUAAAGGCCAUGUAUUAGGAAUAAAGACUACGCUUCUAGGAGAAGGACUACACCCUAGCACAGAGUUUCUUGGUAUCAGCAAUACUAGCAUUUUAAACAGGUCAUUUUUAUUUUCCCCUCCGGAGACAGAGUUUCACUCUUGUUGCCAAGGCUGGAGUGCAAUGGCAUGACCUCAGCUCACUGCAACCUCUGCCUCCCAGGUUCAAGGGAUUCUCCUGCCUCAGCUUCCCAAGUAGCUGGGAUUACAGGUGUGCACCACCACGCCUGGUUAAUUUUUGUAUUAUUAGUAGAGACGGGGUUUCACCAUGUCGGCCAAGCUGGCCUUGAACUCCUGACCUCAGGUGAUCCACCCACCUCGGCCUCCCAAAGCACCGGGAUUACAGGCGUGAGCCACCAUGCUCAGCCCAGGUCAUCUUUUUUGUGGGGAUUGUUUUGUGUAUUAUAGGAUGUUUAGCAGCAACCUUGCCCUCUACCCACAAAAUGCCAAUAGCACCCCACCCCCAUUUAUGAGAAACCAAAAUGUUUCCAGAUAUUGUAAAAUGUCCCUGGAAUGGGGAGCAAAAUUGUUCUCAGUUGAGAAUAACUGUCCUAGUAUAACGGCCACAUCUUAUGACUAAUGAUGAAAUGAAAAUAGACCAGUCCUAACAACAACAACAAAACAACAAAAGAAAACAAAGUGUAAUAGGAUCAUGAGAAUUCAUCAGUAUUUAAAUGUCUAAAUUAAUAGCCAAACUCAUAACAUUUAAAGGAAAACAACAUAAUCCAAUCUCCCUACAAGGUAUCAUCCACAAUAUCCCACCUACAGUGAGACAAGUGAAACAAACAAAAAAAUAUGAUCUAUAAUCAAGCAAUUGGUAGUCAAUAGAAACAGACACUUAGAUGGCACAGGUAUUGUAAUUAACAGAAAGACUACAAUAGCUAUUAUAAAUGAGGGGUCAGGAAAUGUAAAGAUGGAUCAAUAGAAAUUAUUCAAUCUGAAGAACAGAGAGUAAAAAGAGUUUUUUUAGAAAAAAAUGAAUAACCAUUGCUAUUGACUUUAAUGUGUCAAGAUUUUCAAUGGAGAAAGAAAGUCUUAUCAGCAAAUAUUAAUAGUAUAGAAGAAAUUGGAUAGUGACAUGGGAAAAAAGAACCCCACACUACAUACAAAAAUCAGCCUGAGAUGAAUCAAAGAUGAUUUAGAUUUUAAAAGUGAAGUCUAAAACAGUACAAAAACUGAAAGAAAGCAUAAGAGGAUGUGAUUUUGGUAAGCCAAAGUUUCUUAAGUGGGACACAAACAGCAACCAACAAUAACUAUAAAAGAAAAAUAUGAUAAAUUGCAUGCCAUCAAAUUAAAACCUUUUGUUUCUCAAAUGCACCAUGAAGAAAAUGAGUAAGCAAGCCACAGAUUGGGAGAAAAUAUUCCCAAAACAUAUAUUUCACAAAGGACUGGUGUCCAAAAUAUAAAAAGAAUGCAUACAACUUUUUAGAGACAGGGUCUCAUUCUGUUGUCCAAGCUGGACUGCAGUGGUGUGAUCAUAGCUCACUGCAGCCUGAACUCCUAGGCCCAUGUGAUCCUCCCACCUCGACCUCCCAAGUAGCUGGGACUGCAAGCACAUGCCACAACACCUGGCUCAAUUUUUUUUUUCUUUUUUUAUAGAGACAAGAGUCUCCCUAUGUUGCCCAACCUGCUGAGCUGGUCUGAAACUCCUGGGCUCAAAUGAUCUCUUGGCUUGGCCUCCCAAAGUGCUGGGAUUAUAGGCCUGAGCCACCGUGCCCAGCCUAAAUCCCCAGUUUUUGAAAUAAGCAAAAUAAAUUUGAACAGACAUUUCGCAAAAGGAGAUCCAUCAUUGGUCAAUUACCACAUGAAGAGUGCUCAACAUUGUUGGUCUUCAGGAAAAUGAAAAUUAAAACCACGAUCUGUACAAAUUCAUCCAACAAAAUACCUAAAAUUCAAAAGACAGAAAACAUUCAGUGUUGGAAAGAAUAUGGGGCGAUCAGGACUCUUGUGAACUGUUGGUAGAAAUAUAAAAAAGUACAACCAGUUUGAAAAAAGUUCCAACAGUUUCCUUGUAAAAUUAAAUAAACACCUGCUUUAUGAUCAAACAAUUCUACUUCUAGGUAUUUACCCAAGAAAAAGGGAAAUACACAUUCACAGUAAAAGACUUGUUCAAGAAGAUUCAUAGUAGCUUUAUUUACAAUAUCUAAAAGCAGAAAACAGCCCACGUGUCAUUAAUAGUAGACUGGCUAACUAAACUGUGGCAACUUCACAUUGUGGAAUCCUACUCAGAAGCAAAAACGAACAAACUCCUGUUACAUGCAGCAACAUGACUCUCAAAAAAUCAUUAAGCAAAGAAAAAAACUUACAAAAAAGAGUAUAUACUGCAUUAUUUUAUUUAUAUAACUUUUUUUUUUGGACAGAUUUUCACUCUUGUCACCCAGGCUGGAGUACAAUGGCAUGAUUUCGGCUCACUGCAACUUCUGCCUCCCGAGUUCAAGUGAUUUUCCUGCCUCAGCCUCCCAAGUAGCUGGAAUUACAGGCAUGCCCACCACACCUGGCUAAUAUUUUUUAUGUUUUAAUUUUUAUUAUGUUUUUAUUUUUAGUAGAGACAGGGUUUUACCAUGUCGUUCAGGCUGGUCUUGAACUCCUGACCUCAGAUAAUCCACCUGCCUCGGCCUCCCAAAGUGCUGGGAUUACAGGCAUGAGCCACCAUGCUAAGCCUAUAUAAAGUUUUAUGAGAAACUUUAAUAAUAACUUCAAUUUUCCAUAGGUUAAUGUAAAAUUAAUUAAACUGGUGAAAAAUAAUUACAACAGUGGUUGUCUCCGGGGAGGAAAUUGACUAGGAAAGAGCAUGAGAGAACUUUCCGGAGUGAUGAUAGUGUUCUACAUCUUGAUAGAAGUUUGUGUUAUGCAAGUGUAUGCAUUUGUCAAAAUUCAUCAGGUGGUACACUUAAAAUUUUAAGUGUGUCAUUGAUGAGUUUUGACAAACUAUAGGUAUAAGGUUUAUACGUAUGUACUUGUAUCUAGAUAUAAAUCUUACCUUUGAAAAGAAACCACAAACAAAUAUUAAACUCUUGUAAUAGUGUCUAUGCUAUUACAUGGAUUUGAGGACAAACUGUAUUGAUGCCCACAACUUACUUUGAAAGCCAUCCUAAAAUUAGAUGGAUUGAUGGAUGGCUAGAAAAUGAGCAGAUGGUUAGAUAUGUGAUAAAACAAAAUGUUAAUUAUGGAAUCUUAGUGGUGAGAAUAUGGGUCUAUAAUUUCUUCAAUUUCUUAUAUGUUUGAAAAAUUUCAUAAUAAAAUAUUAGAAAGUAGAUGAACAGAAAGUCAGUAACUAGUGGGUCAAAAUCAAGUUGUCAAACAUAUGCACAAUUGAAUUUCCUGAAGAGGAAAAAGAAAGAAUGGAGAAAAAAAAUUCGGGAAUAAAUAAUUUCCAAAAUAUCUCCCAAAUUGGUGGAAAACGUCAAUGUACAGAUCCAAGAAUUCUAAAGAACUUUAAGUUGGAUAACUACAAAGAAGACAGUAUCUAGGUGCAUCACGGUCAAACUGCUAAGAAACAAAAAUAAAGAGAAAAUCUUUAAAGCAGCCAGAGGAAAAAAGUCACAUCAUGUAUGAAGGAAUGAUUAAUUAAAUAAUAGCCGAUUUCACACCAGGAAAAAAAAUUGAGCCCAGAAGACAGAAGGAUGGUAUCUUUAAAGUGCUUGGGGAACAACACCAGUGCAACAUUCUAUGUCCUACGCUCCCCCAAAGCAAAGCACAAACAAAACGAGAUAUUCUUCAAAAACAAGAGGGAUAGAAAGACGUUCAGAUAAGCAAAAGCUGAAGCUGUGUGCCAACAGGGAAUAUGUGUUAUAGGAAGUGCCAAAUAAAGUUCUCAAACUGAAGGGAACUAGCAACAAAUAGGAAAUCCAAUCUAUUGUAAGAAAAGAAAUGGAGAGCUUUACUAAUAAAUAGUAAAUAUAUGUAUAAAA
This is a long non-coding RNA of Homo sapiens (human), 5528 nucleotides long. RefSeq lists it as uncharacterized. NCBI's taxonomy places the organism in Eukaryota, Metazoa, Chordata, Mammalia, Primates, Hominidae. The record is from RefSeq and is a predicted model, not a curated record. The transcript has 4 exons.